AGUGAACGCUGGCGGUAGGCCUAACACAUGCAAGUCGAACGGCAGCACAGUAAGAGCUUGCUCUUACGGGUGGCGAGUGGCGGACGGGUGAGGAAUACAUCGGAAUCUACUUUUUCGUGGGGGAUAACGUAGGGAAACUUACGCUAAUACCGCAUACGACCUACGGGUGAAAGCAGGGGAUCUUCGGACCUUGCGCGAUUGAAUGAGCCGAUGUCGGAUUAGCUAGUUGGCGGGGUAAAGGCCCACCAAGGCGACGAUCCGUAGCUGGUCUGAGAGGAUGGUCAGCCACACUGGAACUGAGACACGGUCCAGACUCCUACGGGAGGCAGCAGUGGGGAAUAUUGGACAAUGGGCGCAAGCCUGAUCCAGCCAUACCGCGUAGGCGAAGAAGGCCUUCGGGUUGUAAAGCCCUUUUGUUGGGAAAGAAAAGCAGCAGGUUAAUACCCCGCUGUUCUGACGGUACCCAAAGAAUAAGCACCGGCUAACUUCGUG
RNAcentral lists this ribosomal RNA (492 nucleotides) under uncultured bacterium. Its description in RNAcentral is "partial 16S ribosomal RNA". It matches the Rfam family "Bacterial small subunit ribosomal RNA", at positions 29 to 507 of the family's 1533-position model. The record is from RNAcentral.